ACAAGUUGACCUCAAAUNCAUGCCCCACAACCCCCCC
Molecule: ribosomal RNA, 37 nt
Filed under: Metarhizium flavoviride
Lineage: Eukaryota; Fungi; Ascomycota; Sordariomycetes; Hypocreales; Clavicipitaceae
Description: partial 28S ribosomal RNA
Source: RNAcentral